UUAAAGUUUGAUUCUUGCUUUAAAUUUGAAUUUAUCAUUAUUUUACAUGUAAAAUUUUUUGGGGUUUAUAUUGUUCUAAAAGAAUAUAACAUAAUUCGCAGUAAUUAAUUCUAUUAAUUUAUUUUAGUAUGAUUUUGUUAAUUGAUAAUUUUUAUGAUUAAUUUUGUGCCAGCAAUCGCGGUUAUACAUUUAUUAAUAUUCAAAUAUAUUAUCUUUCAAAAAUUGUUUUUAUAGAAAUUAAAAAAUAAAUUAAUUAAGUGAAAUUUUUAUUUAUUUUUAUUUCUUUUUUAUUUUGAGAAAUUCUUAAUUAAACUAGGAUUAGAUACCCUAUUAUUUUGAAAUAUAAAUAUUUUAGGUUGAUUAUUAUUAGCUAUGAUCUUGAAAUUCAAAGAAUUUGGCGGUAAUUAAUUCUUUUUAGAGGAACCUGUUCUAUAAUUGAUAAUCCACGAUUGAUUUUACUUUAAUGUUACUUGUAUAUCUCUGUCAUUGAAUGUAUCAUUAGAUUAUUUUCUUUUUUCUGUUUGAGAAAAAUGUUAGGUCAAGGUGCAGUUUGUAUUAAAGUAGAAAUGGGUUACAAUAAUUUUUGAAUUUGUUAUAGUUUGUAAUUAACUAUUAGAUUUUGGAUUUAACAGUAAUUUUAACUAGUAAAGUUAUUUUGAUUUUAGCUCUUAAUUAUGCACACAUCGCCCGUCACUCCCAAUAACUUGGGAUAAGUCGUAACAAAGUAGUUUUACCGGAGGUGAAGCUGAAAGUU
This 754-nucleotide non-coding RNA is filed under the name Philaenus spumarius (meadow spittlebug). The record is from RNAcentral. Lineage: Eukaryota; Metazoa; Arthropoda; Insecta; Hemiptera; Aphrophoridae.